This 460-nucleotide ribosomal RNA is filed under the name uncultured Sphingobacteriales bacterium. RNAcentral's name for it is "partial 16S ribosomal RNA". Lineage: Bacteria; Pseudomonadati; Bacteroidota; Sphingobacteriia; Sphingobacteriales. The record is from RNAcentral.
GACUACCGGGGUAUCUAAGCCUGUUCGCUACCCACGCUUUCGUGCCUCAGCGUCAAUAAAGGCCCAGAUAGCUGCCUUCGCAAUUGGUGUUCUAUGACAUAUCUAUGCAUUUCACCGCUACAUGUCACAUUCCGCCAUCCUCAACCUUAUUCAAGAAAACCAGUAUCCAAGGCAAGAUUAUCGUUAAGCGACAAUAUUUCACCCCAGACUUAAUCUCCCGCCUACGCACCCUUUAAACCCAGUAAUUCCGGAUAACGCUCGCACCCUCCGUAUUACCGCGGCUGCUGGCACGGAGUUAGCCGGUGCUUAUUCUGAUGGUACCUUCAGUAACAGACGCAUCUGUCAUUUUAUUCCCAUCUAAAAGAAGUUUACAACCCAUAGGGCCUUCUUCCUCCACGCGGAAUGGCUGGAUCAGAGUUUCGUCCAUUGUCCAAUAUUCCUUACUGCAGCCCCCCGUAGG